GUCUCAUGAUGCUUUAUAUCUGGAAUCCCAGAGAUCAUGUGGGUUGCCCUCUUUCCCUAAAGGAGGUACCAGACAAGAAUUUUAUGAACCAUGAGGAAGUGACUACUCAGAUGGAUGCUCUAGAAAAAGCACUGGAAAUGUAACCAUGGGUUUACCAGAGCACUCCUCAGGAAGAGAGGAAGGACAGACCAGGAAUCAGUGAUCAAAAAUGUUUUUCUUCCCAUCUGAGCAAUAGCUUCUUUGAAAGCACCAUGAAAAUCGAAUCUAUAAGUUAUCAGAAUAGUUGCAUAUACAAACACAUGGGCUCAGAAUGAGCUUUGAAAAGUGGGCAUUCUGUUUGAUGAACACCUGGUAAGUUCUUCUUCAGUUUGUGGAAUUUCUUCAGUGUCACAAACACUGUCUUAAGACUAUUCCUCCUUACUCAAG
This 426-nucleotide long non-coding RNA is filed under the name Mus spicilegus (steppe mouse). Its description in RNAcentral is "lncRNA (ENSMSIG00000008033.1)". The record is from RNAcentral. Lineage: Eukaryota; Metazoa; Chordata; Mammalia; Rodentia; Muridae.